This is a long non-coding RNA of Mercenaria mercenaria, 4062 nucleotides long. RefSeq lists it as uncharacterized. The transcript is spliced from 2 exons. The record is from RefSeq and is a predicted model, not a curated record. NCBI's taxonomy places the organism in Eukaryota, Metazoa, Mollusca, Bivalvia, Venerida, Veneridae.
UGUAUGGUAUAAACUGUUGUGAAAUGUUUCUAAUUUUCUCUUAUAUAUUUUCAGUGUAUGUGUCAAUGUCAUUGUGAAAAAGUGAGUCCCAGUCUACUUGAGAAGUUUCCCGCCGCAAACCGUCAUAAUCAGCAUUAUCAAAUUGCCAUACAGCUGUUCUUUUGAAACUCACAGUCUUUGGUUUUAUGUGAUUAAGAAAGCAGAAGAUAGGACAAUGGUAACGAACAUUUUGAUCAAGGAAAGGUUCCCCAACACCACAAAUAGCUAUUUUACAUGUUGACGAAAGAAGGAAGAGAUCUAUAAGAAUGUGAGUCUUGGCGUAAACUAAUACUCCUCCAUGAGAAUCACCGACUCUGUCUUUACGAAAAGGUACUGAAUAGUUUUCAAAUGUUAUGAAACGGGUCUCGAUUGUAUUACUAAGCCAUGUUUCUGUGAAGGAAAGAAUAUCAAAUUGUAGCAAUUCACAUUCAAGGAUUUCCUUUUUGUGAUAGAAGAUUUGAACAUUGUAAUGAACAAAAGAGUGAUUUUUUUUAAAAUUCGUCAAUAAAGUCUGUACAUGAACUGCUUGAAGUUGAGUCGGGGCCAGGAUUUUCAUGGACAUCGCCGCCCAGUAUAAGGAUCAUCGACAACCAACAAAUUAGUUCAAAACUUGAGAAGUGUUGUAGGCCUUUUAUUCACAUCUGUUUUGUGACGAACAAGCCUACUCUCACCCUGUAUUCAUUCACAUCUACAAAUAUUAUGUUAUUCCAAAGUCCAGGGCUCGUAUUCAUAAAGAAUCUUAGAUAGAAAUAUCUCUUAGAAGACAACGUUUUCUAACUUUUUCUCAUUUUUGGCUUAAAAUUUGCCUUAAAAACACGUUUGCCUAAGAAUUAAUUCGGUUUGCCAGAGCGUGUAGUCAUGUCAAGCAUUUCAAUGAACGUAAUCAAUAUAUUACAAGUAAACUUCUUCAGCAAGGCUACAGUUAUUACAAAUUGCGUAAAUAUUUUACUAAAUUUUAUUAUCGUAAUUCUGAUUUAGUUUUAAAAUUCAAUAGUAAUUUAAAGACACUUCUGCGAGAAGGUAUUUCUAAACCCGUUUUCUAUGGGGAUUUGGUUUACAAACUUCGUAAGAUCUUGGGUCAUGGUAAUUUUCCAAAUGUAUUUGGAAAGAUUAUCAAACGUUUUAUUAAAAGAGGUUACGACCCAACUGUUUUGAGACAUACCGCAUGUUUAGUGUUCAACCCGUUUACAGUUGGACACUACGCUUCCCUCUUUGAUUGCGUCUGAUGGAAGAGGGGGAGGACUCUAUAAUGAGCAGUUUUUAAAUCCUACCAGGACUGAACUGUUUUGAUAUUUGUCUUCUGACCUAAUUCGUCGGGCCCUUAAGGGUGUUUCUCUUGUUGCUCUGUCUUCUGAAAAGGCAUUGAGUACAUACGUUUUUGGUUCUCAAGGUUUGCUUUUUAUAUAUUUAUACACGAGCAUUUUUGUGUUUUACAUGCCAUGCCUUUUUGUUUCCAUUACGUGUGUUAGAGAUUCACUUGGAGGGGAUUACUUUUAUUUACACUGUCCCAUGUCUUUGGAACAUGGUGGGGGUAAGAGUGAGGUUGGGUGCGCACCAUAAACCGGUUUAAGCUCCCCAGUUGUGUUUUUGCCACUGACCGUUCCAAGGCGGUGCCCAACUGUAUUCCUUUGUUUGUUCGUUUUGUCCUUGUGUGUUGGCUUUGUGUGCGCGCGUGUGUGUAUGCUUAUUGUUCGUCUUGUCCUCGUGUGUUGGCUUUGGGUGUGUGUGUGUGUGUGUUGUUCGUUUUGUCCUGAUGUGUAAGCUUUGAGUGUGUGUGUGUGUGUGUGUGUGUGUGUGUGUGUGGUGCACGCGUUUGCGUGCUGGGGGGUUCGUUUUGAGGAGGCUGCGCUUUUGGUGCGUGGCAUUCCCUGUUUGAUAUUUCUCUUUGUUUUUAGAAAUUAUCUUAAGUAGGUGAUUUUUCUCUUAAAAUUUAAGACAGGUGGUCAUUUAUCUAACUUUUAAGAAUUAUCUUAGAAAAUCAAAAAUAGAAUGAACGCCAAUGACCGCAAUUAACAGUUAUUCAUGAAUUGCAUAUUUACUGUAUAUACUUAUUAGAAUAUUAAUCUUAAUUUAACUUGUGACAGGCUUUCCUAAUUUCUUAUCAAAUAUAGACAUAGAAAUGAAACUAAGAAAAAAUUAUUCUUAUACUUUUUCCUCGCUAAGAUUUUUCUAAGUCGCUUUAUGAAUAAGAACUUAAGAAUAUCUCUUAACUAAGUCUAAAAAAAUAAGAUAAGAAAUAUCUUAGCGGUGAUUCUAAGAUUCUUUAUGAAUACGGACCCAGAACUUGAGCGGGUGAGAUAUUAUCACAGUUAGAGUGACAAUCAGAGCGAGAAGGGAAGAAGUCAGAGAUAUGGAUUUGAGGAAUACGAGACAAACUAAAGAAUUAUUAGACAAAGGAAUUAAGUUAGACAAAGGAAUUAAGGGUCCGUAAUUCCAUUUGACCCAUUUCUGUAACAAAAGGCAGUAUUGGGAUUAUAAGAUAUUUUUGCAAAGAUAUCUAAUGUAAAUUUUCUUUUCAUCAAGUGAAUUUUUGUGUUGUGGUGGAUAUAAAGUAUUUCAGAGAAUGUCGAUGUGAUGAUUUAAUAUAUUAGUGAUAAGAAAUAAAAGGAUGAGUGUUAAGUAGUGUGUAUAGUGAAUUCAGUAAAGGAUAUAAAAUGUUCUAUUAUGUAAGACGUGAAGAAGGCUUGUAACAAUCUAGGUUUAUGGAUGUAAAUUAUGGUUAAGAAUUUGUAGAUGCAUAUUAUGAUUAUGAAGAAUGACAUUUCUAAAGGAUUACUAUGUUUCUACGUUUACUUUAAGAUUUUGAUAUUGCCUAUUGCUAUAUAAUGCAACCUUAAGUGUAAUAUACUUUCAUGUUACAUGGUUUUGAACCUUAUUCGAUGAUUAUGUACAUAGCAAUAUAUGUGUUUCAAAAUUCAUAAAUCAGUAAUCUAUGACAGAUGCAGUAUUACAGAAUGUCUAGAGAUUCUUUAAUACAGUCCAAAUUAAUUACCAAUUUAGACUUGUGAAAACCUAAGUUAUGUUUUAGAACAAUAUGUCAGAGAUAUUUUUAGAAUAGAGUGAUGGUCAAAUACAGUUGUAUUCAAAGACAAACAUUCAGUGGAAUAAGUAAAUAUUACUAUUGUUUGUAUAAAGGAAAUUACAUCUUCAUGAUUUAGUAUAUAUGAUUUAAAUUCAUUAUAAGUCUGCACUAGCAAAACAAAUAUGUUUUACAAGUAUAUAUGCAAAAUUUAUAAUCUCAUGACUGCAGGUGCAUCAUUCACAUAGUAAGACUGUAUAAUUAUGAUUUUAAUAUCAUCAGUGAGUAAAUCACACCAGCACAUAAUAAUAAUAAUAAAAAGGAUCUUAUAUUAUUAUACAUCUUGAAUACAUCUACAGGAACCAGUUUAAAAAAUAAAAAAAGUGGGGAAUUUAGUUUAUAAUUUUGCUGAAAAGUCAAAAAUACAAAUGUUCAUUUUUUGUAUACAAACUCAUUUGAUUCCAAGUUUGACAGUUUAGCACCAUUAAGCUUCUCAGACAUAAUAAAUGUCAUUUAGUGCACAAAGAGGGUCAUUUGGCUAGUUAAUACUAUUUUUACAGGUGACUGUAUAAAGAAAAACUCUUUUCAGAUUAAACUACAAACAGGCUGUAUAGACAAUAAUGAUUAUCAUCAACUGUUCAAACAUUAUAUGUAUCAUCUAGCUCCAUAAACAUUAUAAGUAUUAUCAUGCUGCACAUACAUUGCAAUUGCCAGCCAAAAUAUUAUAUGUAUCAAUAACUACACAUGUAUUUUAUUUUCAGUAGCUGAGCAAACAUUGUAUACAUAUAUCAUCUUGCUGCACAAUAUCUGUACCUUUCAUUAGCUACAUGAACAUUAUAAAUUAUGAAUCAUUACCUGCACAAACAUUUUUGAAUCAUAUACUGCACAACAUUUAUUUGAAUCAUUAGCUGCACUGAUAUUAUAUGUAUCACCUUGCUGCACAGAGAAAGAUAUGUAAAAUAAGCUGCAUUAUCAUUGUAUGAAUAAAUCGCUGUUCAACCAUU